Molecule: long non-coding RNA, 536 nt
Organism: Vigna radiata var. radiata (mung bean)
Lineage: Eukaryota; Viridiplantae; Streptophyta; Magnoliopsida; Fabales; Fabaceae
Exons: 3
Source: RefSeq, a predicted model, not a curated record
UUCAGAAGACGUUGUUCCAUUGUUACUAGAUAUCGAUUGAGGCGAGGGUGUUGCAUUUUGGAAACAUUUGAAGUGGUAGUAAGGAGUAGCCAAAACAGGGUUUAUUUGGUCAACUUGGUGUAUUGGGUAUGCUUAGAUAUGCAUAAGUUCAAUUUUCUUCAAUGUGACAAAUGAUUGCAGGCUAUAUACAGGGAGGAUAUAAUGAAUUAGGAAAAAUACGUGUCCAGGGCCAUCUAAUUAAGGUAUUACUAUUUUGUGAUUUAUUUCUUUGUUCCCUUUUUUCUUUAGCCUGGGGAUGGGAGUACGUUUGUUGAUUUCCCAAGCUUAUUGCCUCGUGAAUAUACUGCAAUAGUACACACUGAAUAUACUGCAAUAUCUGUUUGGGUAAGUUUUUAUCUUCACCAACUUUCUCAUAAAGAUCUUUAAUUAUAGUCGACAAUGUACAUGUACAUGUACCAAAGAAUCUUCUGCUAUUAGUGCAGAACUAUUAAAUUCAUUACUAAUUGAAUUAUAAGUAUAAAUAUGAUUAGCUUAUU